This is a small nucleolar RNA of Grammomys surdaster, 129 nucleotides long. RefSeq annotates it as small nucleolar RNA SNORA17. The record is from RefSeq and is a predicted model, not a curated record. Lineage: Eukaryota; Metazoa; Chordata; Mammalia; Rodentia; Muridae. The transcript has a single exon.
ACAGCCAACAAUAAAAUAAUAGUUUCUGCUGUGUCACUUGUGUGUCAGUAGGUGGCAGAGAGAAGAGAGGCUAUGUCUACUCUCAGUGUUCUGAGGUUUGAAAACCUGAAUGAUUACUAGCCUAACAUU